This 406-nucleotide ribosomal RNA is filed under the name uncultured bacterium. RNAcentral's name for it is "partial 16S ribosomal RNA". It matches the Rfam family "Bacterial small subunit ribosomal RNA", at positions 30 to 526 of the family's 1533-position model. The record is from RNAcentral.
AUUGAACGCUGGCGGCAGGCCUAACACAUGCAAGUCGAGCGAGCGGCGGACGGGUGAGUAAUGUCUGGGAAACUGCCUGAUGGAGGGGGAUAACUACUGGAAACGGUAGCUAAUACCGCAUACCAUCAGAUGUGCCCAGAUGGGAUUAGCUAGUAGGUCGGGUAACGGCUCACCUAGGCGACGAUCCCUAGCUGGUCUGAGAGGAUGACCAGCCACACUGGGACUGAGACACGGACCAGACUCCGACGGGAGGCAGCAGUGGGGAAUAUUGCACAAUGGGCGCAAGCCUGAUGCAGCCAUGCCGCGUGUAUGAAGAAGGCCUUCGGGUUGUAAAGCACUUUCAGCCGGGAGGCGUUACCCACAGAAGAAGCACCGGCUAACUCCGUGCCAGCAGCCGCGGUAAUAC